This 494-nucleotide ribosomal RNA is filed under the name uncultured bacterium. Its description in RNAcentral is "partial 16S ribosomal RNA". It matches the Rfam family "Bacterial small subunit ribosomal RNA", at positions 28 to 507 of the family's 1533-position model. The record is from RNAcentral.
GACGAACGCUGGCGGCGUGCUUAACACAUGCAAGUCGAACGGAAAGGCCUGCUUUCCCUUGUGGAUUGCGGGUACUCGAGUGGCGAACGGGUGAGUAACACGUGAGUGAUCUGCCCCCAACUUGGGUAUAAGCCUGGGAAACUGGGUCUAAUUCCCGAUAGUACUGCAGGGUGGUGCCUGUGGUGGAAAACGAUUUUCUAGUGGUUGGGGAUGAGCUCGCGGCCUAUCAGCUUGUUGGUGGGGUAAUGGCCUACCAAGGCGGCGACGGGUAGCCGGACUGAGAGGGUGGACGGCGACAUUGGGACUGAGAUACGGCCCAGACUCCUACGGGAGGCAGCAGUGGGGAAUAUUGCAGCAUGGGCGGAAGCCUGAUGCAGCGACGCCGCGUGGGGGAUGACGGCCUUCGGGUUGUAAACUCCUUUCGACCGCGAGGAAGCCACCUGGUUGGAAGGGUGGUGACGGUAGUGGUAGAAGAAGCACCGGCUAACUACGUG